UACGUAGGGGGCAAGCGUUGUCCGGAAUCAUUGGGCGUAAAGAGCGCGUAGGCGGCCCGAUAAGUCCGCUGUGAAAGUCAAGGGCUCAACCCUUGAAUGCCGGUGGAUACUGUCGGGCUAGAGUCCGGAAGAGGCGAGUGGAAUUCCUGGUGUAGCGGUGGAAUGCGCAGAUAUCAGGAGGAACACCAAUAGCGAAGGCAGCUCGCUGGGACGGUACUGACGCUAAGGCGCGAAAGCGUGGGGAGCGAACAGG
Molecule: ribosomal RNA, 253 nt
Filed under: uncultured bacterium
Lineage: Bacteria
Description: partial 16S ribosomal RNA
Rfam family: Bacterial small subunit ribosomal RNA
Source: RNAcentral